UCGAUCCCCUACUCUACUCGUGUAUGGAGAAAAGUCAGUUGGAAGGGGAGAACCCGCCUUGUGUGCCCAACAAGUUCCCCAACGGAGAUUACUCACUACUAAACAGCGGUGAAAACUUCGUACCUAUAUCAUGGUAACCCAAAUAUUAAGUGUCAUUUUAAUUUUUCAAGACAUAAUUUUUUCUUCAGUAUUUAAGAUAACAAUUGUUCUGUUUACAAUAUUUC
Molecule: long non-coding RNA, 224 nt
Filed under: Trifolium pratense (red clover)
Lineage: Eukaryota; Viridiplantae; Streptophyta; Magnoliopsida; Fabales; Fabaceae
Description: long non-coding RNA (TPRA_LNC007155)
Source: RNAcentral